AUACGGAGGGUCCAAGCGUUAUCCGGAUUCAUAGGGUUUAAAGGGUCCGCAGGCGGGAAAAUAAGUCAGUGGUGAAAGCCUACAGCUCAACUGUAGAACUGCCAUUGAAACUGUUUUUCUUGAGUAUAGAUGAAGUGGGCGGAAUAUAUCAUGUAGCGGUGAAAUGCAUAGAUAUGAUAUAGAACACCGAUUGCGAAGGCAGCUCACUAAACUAUUACUGACGCUCAGGGACGAAAGCGUGGGGAGCGAACAGGAUUAGAAACCCCGGUAGUCC
This 274-nucleotide ribosomal RNA is filed under the name uncultured bacterium. RNAcentral's name for it is "partial 16S ribosomal RNA". It matches the Rfam family "Bacterial small subunit ribosomal RNA", at positions 523 to 796 of the family's 1533-position model. The record is from RNAcentral.